GGAUUCCCCUAGUAACUGCGAGUGAAGCGGGAAAAGCUCAAAUUUAAAAUCUGGCAGUCUCUGGCUGUCCGAGUUGUAAUCUAGAGAAGUAAUGCCCGUGCUGGACCGUGUAUAAGUCUCCUGGGAUGGGGCGUCAUAGAGGGUGAGAAUCCCGUCUUUGACACGGACUACCAGUGCAUUGUGGUAUGCUCUCAAAGAGUCGAGUUGUUUGGGAAUGCAGCUCAAAAUGGGUGGUAAAUUCCAUCUAAAGCUAAAUAUUGGCGAGAGACCGAUAGCGAACAAGUACCGUGAGGGAAAGAUGAAAAGAACUUUGGAAAGAGAGUUAAACAGUACGUGAAAUUGCUGAAAGGGAAACGCUUGAAGUCAGUCGCGUUGGCCGGGAAUCAGCCUUGCUUUUGCAUGGUGUACUUUCUGGUUGACGGGUCAGCAUCAAUUUUGACCGCUGGAAAAAGGCCUGGGGAAUGUGGCAGCUUCGGCUGUGUUAUAGCCYCUAGUCACAUACAGUGGUUGGGAUUGAGGAACUCAGCACGCCGCAAGGCCGGGUUUCGACCACGUUCGUGCUUAGGAUGCUGGCAUAAUGGCUUUAAGCGACCCGUCUUGAAACACGGACCAAGGAGUCUAACAUGCCUGCGAGUAUUUGGGUGGAAAACCCAAGUGCGUAAUGAAAGUGAAAGUUGAGAUCCCUGUCGUGGGGAGCAUCGACGCCCGGACCAGAACUUUUGGGACGGAUCCGCGGUGGAGCAUGUAUGUUGGGACCCGAAAGAUGGUGAACUAUGCCUGAAUAGGGUGAAGCCAGAGGAAACUCUGGUGGAGGCUCGUAGCGAUUCUGACGUGCAAAUCGAUCGUCAAAUUUGGGUAUAGGGGCGAAAGACUAAUCGA
This 879-nucleotide ribosomal RNA is filed under the name Agaricus sp. RNAcentral describes it as "eukaryotic LSU rRNA". It matches the Rfam family "Eukaryotic large subunit ribosomal RNA", at positions 72 to 938 of the family's 3401-position model. The record is from RNAcentral. Lineage: Eukaryota; Fungi; Basidiomycota; Agaricomycetes; Agaricales; Agaricaceae.